This 252-nucleotide long non-coding RNA is filed under the name Elaeis guineensis (African oil palm). RNAcentral's name for it is "long non-coding RNA (EGUI_LNC023924)". The record is from RNAcentral. Lineage: Eukaryota; Viridiplantae; Streptophyta; Magnoliopsida; Arecales; Arecaceae.
CGCUCUCGCAAGGGUCCACCCGGGGUUCGUGCUUCUUCCUGUUUUGCCCUAGCUUCCCUUUAAACCUUCUUUCUUGCUUCUCCUUCUCCUUUGGUCUUGUCUUCCUCUUGGUUCUGGUGUUAUGGCCGGAACCUCAUCUCAGGGGGCUCGAUCGGGAAACCCGACCGAUGACCCUCGGUCGACUCCGAAAGUUGAGGUUUCCUCGCUUUCGGGGCCGAAUGUUGAUCGGCUUCGGGAUCAGUAUCGUAUCCC